GGUGGUGUGGCUUAGUGGAAAGAGCACAGGGCUGGGAAAUGAGACCUGUGUUCUAGUCCCAGCUCUAUCA
RNAcentral lists this transfer RNA (70 nucleotides) under Ornithorhynchus anatinus (platypus). It matches the Rfam family "tRNA". From Rfam's summary of the family: Transfer RNA (tRNA) molecules are approximately 80 nucleotides in length. Their secondary structure includes four short double-helical elements and three loops (D, anti-codon, and T loops). Lineage: Eukaryota; Metazoa; Chordata; Mammalia; Monotremata; Ornithorhynchidae. The record is from Rfam by way of RNAcentral.